GGACCCGCACAAGCGGUGGAUGAUGUGGUUUAAUUCGAUGCAACGCGAAAAACCUUACCUACCCUUGACAUGUCUGGAAUUGCGCAGAGAUGUGCAAGUGCCCGAAAGGGAGCCAGAACACAGGUGCUGCAUGGCUGUCGUCAGCUCGUGUCGUGAGAUGUUGGGUUAAGUCCCGCAACGAGCGCAACCCUUGCCAUUAGUUGCUACGAAAGGGCACUCUAAUGGGACUGCCGGUGACAAACCGGAGGAAGGUGGGGAUGACGUCAAGUCCUCAUGGCCCUUAUGGGUAGGGCUACACACGUCAUACAAUGGCUGGUACAGAGGGUUGCCAACCCGCGAGGGGGAGCUAAUCCCAUAAAACCAGUCGUAGUCCGGAUCGUAGUCUGCAACUCGACUGCGUGAAGUCGGAAUCGCUAGUAAUCGCGGAUCAGCAUGUCGCGGUGAAUACGUUCCCGGGUCUU
Molecule: ribosomal RNA, 461 nt
Filed under: uncultured bacterium
Lineage: Bacteria
Description: bacterial SSU rRNA
Rfam family: Bacterial small subunit ribosomal RNA
Source: RNAcentral